AUUGAACGCUGGCGGCAUGCUUUACACAUGCAAGUCGAACGGCAGCGCGGGCUUCGGCCUGGCGGCGAGUGGCGAACGGGUGAGUAAUGCAUCGGAACGUGCCCAGUAGUGGGGGAUAGCCCCGCGAAAGCCGGAUUAAUACCGCAUACGACCUGAGGGUGAAAGCGGGGGACCGAAAGGCCUCGCGCUAUUGGAGCGGCCGAUGUCGGAUUAGCUAGUUGGUGGGGUAAAGGCUUACCAAGGCGACGAUCCGUAGCUGGUCUGAGAGGACGACCAGCCACACUGGGACUGAGACACGGCCCAGACUCCUACGGGAGGCAGCAGUGGGGAAUUUUGGACAAUGGGGGCAACCCUGAUCCAGCCAUGCCGCGUGCGGGAAGAAGGCCUUCGGGUUGUAAACCGCUUUUGUUCGGGAAGAAAUCCUCUGGGCUAAUACCCCGGGGGGAUGACGGUACCGGAAGAAUAAGCACCGGCUAACUACGUG
This 484-nucleotide ribosomal RNA is filed under the name uncultured bacterium. RNAcentral's name for it is "partial 16S ribosomal RNA". It matches the Rfam family "Bacterial small subunit ribosomal RNA", at positions 28 to 507 of the family's 1533-position model. The record is from RNAcentral.